UGGGGAAUAUUGCACAAUGGAGGAAACUCUGAUGCAGCGACGCCGCGUGAGUGAAGAAGGUCUUCGGAUCGUAAAACUCUGUCCUUGGUGACGAAAAAAAUGACGGUAGCCAAGGAGGAAGCCCCGGCUAACUACGUGCCAGCAGCCGCGGUAAUACGUAGGGGGCGAGCGUUGUCCGGAUUUACUGGGCGUAAAGGGUGAGUAGGCGGUAAUAUGUGUCAGAUGUAAAAGGCUAUGGCUUAACCAUAGUUAGCAUUUGAAACUGUAUUACUUGAGUGCAGGAGAGGUAAGUGGAAUUCCUAGUGUAGCGGUGAAAUGCGUAGAUAUUAGGAGGAACACCAGUGGCGAAGGCGACUUACUGGACUGUAACUGACGCUGAGUCACGAAAGCGUGGGUAGCAAACA
RNAcentral lists this ribosomal RNA (404 nucleotides) under uncultured bacterium. Its description in RNAcentral is "bacterial SSU rRNA". It matches the Rfam family "Bacterial small subunit ribosomal RNA", at positions 355 to 774 of the family's 1533-position model. The record is from RNAcentral.